UUUACAGGAACAUGCAUUUUCUCAUAACCCACAAGUCUACCAGUGCCACUGCAACAAGUUCACAGAGGAAUGUGAGACGUGUGGAGUGACACCUUUGGUUUGAGUUUGUGAUGCUACAUUUGGUAAAGUUCCAGUUGAAAAAGAAGGAAUCCAUAUUUUAGAUUGGUCUUUUGACGAUGAAGCUCCACCACCUAAUCAGAUAGCAGAUGACUGGCUAAACCUGUUAAUCACUAAAGGGCGUGAAAAGCCAGGUUGCUGCCUUGCAGUGCAUUGUGCUGUGGGAUUGGGAAGGGCACCUGUGCUGGCAGCGCUUGCUUUGAAUAUGGAAUUAAGUAUGAAGAUGCAGUUCAGUUUAUAAGACAAAAAAGAAGGGGAGCAUUCAAUUCCAAACAGCUGCUUUACUUGGAGAAAUGCCGACCUAAGGUGCAAUUACACUUCAGAGAUACCAGUGGGC
This 454-nucleotide long non-coding RNA is filed under the name Homo sapiens (human). RNAcentral describes it as "non-protein coding lnc-ZNF26-1:11". The record is from RNAcentral. Lineage: Eukaryota; Metazoa; Chordata; Mammalia; Primates; Hominidae.